CCUUUGUACACACCGCCCGUCGCUACUACCGAUUGAAUGGCUCAGUGAGGCGUCCGGACUGGACUUUGGCAGCUGGCAACAGCAGCUAGGGACUAAAAAGUCAUCCAAACUUGGUCAUUUAGAGG
This is a ribosomal RNA of 125 nucleotides. It matches the Rfam family "Eukaryotic small subunit ribosomal RNA", at positions 1657 to 1779 of the family's 1831-position model.